UACAGAGGGGGCAAGCGUUAUUCGGAAUUAUUGGGCGUAAAGGGCGCGUAGGCGGCUUGGCAAGUGGAAGGUGAAAUCCCUCGGCUUAACCGAGGGACUGCCCUCCAAACUGCUUCGCUUGAGACCGGGAGAGGUGAGUGGAAUUCCCAGUGUAGCGGUGAAAUGCGUAGAUAUUGGGAGGAACACCAGUGGCGAAGGCGGCUCACUGGACCGGUACUGACGCUGAGGCGCGAAAGCGUGGGGAGCAAACGGG
Molecule: ribosomal RNA, 253 nt
Filed under: uncultured bacterium
Lineage: Bacteria
Description: partial 16S ribosomal RNA
Rfam family: Bacterial small subunit ribosomal RNA
Source: RNAcentral